GCCGGAGUGGAGGAACUGGCAGGCUCGCGGCGCUCAAAACGCCGUGCCCGCAAGGGCGUGUGGGUUCGAGUCCCACCUCCGGCA
This is a non-coding RNA of Candidatus Rokubacteria bacterium 13_2_20CM_2_64_8, 84 nucleotides long. The record is from Rfam. NCBI's taxonomy places the organism in Bacteria, Candidatus Rokuibacteriota.